UGCGUAGGCGGACUAAUAAGUCAGUGGUGAAAUCUUUCGGCUCAACCGAGAAACUGUCAUUGAUACUGUUAGUCUUGAGUUCGGUUGAGGUAGGCGGAAUGUGUAAUGUAGCGGUGAAAUGCUUAGAUAUUACACAGAACACCAAUUGCGUAGGCAGCUUACUAGACCGACACUGACGCUGAGGCACGAAAGCGUGGGGAGCGAACAGGAUUAGAUACCCUGGUAGUCC
Molecule: ribosomal RNA, 229 nt
Filed under: uncultured bacterium
Lineage: Bacteria
Description: partial 16S ribosomal RNA
Rfam family: Bacterial small subunit ribosomal RNA
Source: RNAcentral